UACGGAGGGGGCGAGCGUUAUUCGGAAUUAUUGGGCGUAAAGGGCGCGUAGGCGGCUGUACAAGUCAAAGGUGAAAUCCCUCGGCUCAACUGAGGAACUGCCUUUGAAACUGUACGGCUUGAGGCCGGGAGGGGGUAGCGGAAUUCCCAAUGUAGCGGUGAAAUGCGUAGAGAUGUGGAGGAACACCGAUGGCGAAGGCAGCCUCCUGGGCCAGCACUGACGCUCAUGCACGAAAGCGUGGGGAGCAAACAGG
RNAcentral lists this ribosomal RNA (253 nucleotides) under uncultured bacterium. RNAcentral describes it as "partial 16S ribosomal RNA". It matches the Rfam family "Bacterial small subunit ribosomal RNA", at positions 524 to 776 of the family's 1533-position model. The record is from RNAcentral.